GGGUGUUCACUUCAGCAGCCUAUAUUGUAAAAUUAGAACAAUAUAGAGAAGAUUAGCAUGGCCCCUGCAUAGGAAUAACAUGCAAAUUCAUAAAGCGUUGCAUAUUUUU
Molecule: small nuclear RNA, 109 nt
Organism: Apodemus sylvaticus (European woodmouse)
Lineage: Eukaryota; Metazoa; Chordata; Mammalia; Rodentia; Muridae
Source: RefSeq, a predicted model, not a curated record